UCACCACAGCGCUUGGGUUAUUUAUUUAUUUUUGAGACAGGGUCUCUGCCCGGUGCAGUGGCUCACGCCUGUAAUCCCAGCACUUUGGGAGGCCGAGGCUGGAGGAUCGCUUGAGUCCAGGAGUUCUAGAUCAGCCUGGGCAACAUAGUGACGCCUCGUAUCUAUUUAAAAGAAUAAAAAAAUUAAGAAAAAAGAGAGAGAAACAGAGUCUCGCUUUGUCGCCCAGGCUGCAGAGCAGUGGUGCAAUCAUGGCUCACUGCAGCCUCGACCUCCCAGGCUCAAGCGAUCCUCUCUCCUCAACCUCCUGGGUACUUGGGACUACAGGCCUGCGCCACCACGCCUGGUUAAUUUAAACAAAUAAACAAACAAACAAACAAACCGUAGAGACGGGGGUCUCAUUAUGUUGCCCGGGCUGUUCUGAAACUCCUGAGCUCAAGUGUUCCUCCCACCUUGGCUCCCCAAAGUGCUGAGAUUACAGGCAUGAGCCACAGCGCCCAGCUGUUUGUUCCUAUUCCAUAGCCAUGCCCCUCACAAUUCCUUGAGAUCCAGGCUCCAGUCCUUUAACGAAUCUCUACCCCAUGAGAAUCCCACGCUUUUAGAUGAAACCCCAUUCAAGCCCAGAGACACAGCCCCAAUUUAUACAACAAGCCACAUCCCAGGACACCGUCUGCGUCCCUAGACACCGACGACCUAGGUGUCACCCUACCAACGAACACUGCCCCCUAGCCUAGAGCCCCGCACCUUCAUCCACUACCCACCCCCAACCCGCAAUACAGUUCUGCCCCUGUUUUAUAGCAUGCCCCUACUAGCUCAUAACCCGGGCCAGUCCCUUCUAACAAAGCUCCUCCCUUCUCUAAUAGCCCUGCCCCUUGCAACAGAGCCCGGCCCCUUCCACCGAAGCCCCGCCUCGCAACCGUAGCUAGCGAGCCAUCAGCUUCGGUUCCAGCCACGCGCCCAGGCUUCUCACGACCAAGCUCCGCCCCAGCGCCACAGCCCCACACACCCGAGUAGAGGGACCUCUUACCCACAGGGCCCUUCCAGCACGUUCCACUCGCCCAUGAGCCAGGCCCCUGCUUGCAGUUCAGCCCUUCCAGAGAAGCCCAACCCCCAGCCUGAGACCCCAGGGAGGACCCCUGCCCCAGCCCUUCAGGCCCCCUCACCAGCUGCUCCCCAGACAGCACUUCCAGGAGCCGCGUGAGCACGAAGCCGUCCCGGAGGUCCACAUAGAGGUCCCCGAUGUGGCAGCCCACGCGGGCGAGGUGCGAGUUCACCCACUUGGUGAAGGUUUUCUUCUGCACGGCUUCCCGCUCAUCUGGAGGAGAGGCCCUGAUGAGCCCCCAGGCGCUUCCACCUUCACCCCAGCCCUCCGCGAGCCAAGCCUGCUCAGACCCAGCUCUCUGCAAGAGUCCAGCCUCACAGGCGGAUCACCUGAGGGUCUGCCCUGUAUAAAAUCCAGGCU
RNAcentral lists this long non-coding RNA (1459 nucleotides) under Homo sapiens (human). RNAcentral's name for it is "HSALNT0259893". The record is from RNAcentral. Lineage: Eukaryota; Metazoa; Chordata; Mammalia; Primates; Hominidae.